This 301-nucleotide ribosomal RNA is filed under the name uncultured bacterium. RNAcentral describes it as "partial 16S ribosomal RNA". It matches the Rfam family "Bacterial small subunit ribosomal RNA", at positions 509 to 807 of the family's 1533-position model. The record is from RNAcentral.
CAGUAGCCGCGGUAAUACGUAGGGUGCAAGCGUUAAUCGGAAUUACUGGGCGUAAAGCGUGCGCAGGCGGUUCUAUAAGACAGUUGUGAAAUCCCCGGGCUCAACCUGGGAACUGCAUUUGUGACUGUAGAGCUGGAGUGCGGCAGAGGGGGAUGGAAUUCCGCGUGUAGCAGUGAAAUGCGUAGAUAUGCGGAGGAACACCGAUGGCGAAGGCAAUCCCCUGGGCCUGCACUGAAGCUCAUGCACGAAAGCGUGGGGAGCAAACAGGAUUAGAUACCCCCGUAGUCCCUGUCUCUUAUAC